AGAGUUUGAUCCUGGCUCAGAUUGAACGCUGGCGGCAGGCCUAACACAUGCAAGUCGAGCGGCAGCGGGAAAGUAGCUUGCUACUUUUGCCGGCGAGCGGCGGACGGGUGAGUAAUGCCUGGGGAUCUGCCCAGUCGAGGGGGAUAACAGUUGGAAACGACUGCUAAUACCGCAUACGCCCUACGGGGGAAAGCAGGGGACCUUCGGGCCUUGCGCGAUUGGAUGAACCCAGGUGGGAUUAGCUAGUUGGUGAGGUAAUGGCUCACCAAGGCGACGAUCCCUAGCUGGUCUGAGAGGAUGAUCAGCCACACUGGAACUGAGACACGGUCCAGACUCCUACGGGAGGCAGCAGUGGGGAAUAUUGCUCAAUGGCCGAAAGGCUGAAGCAGCAACGCCGCGUGGGGGAUGAAGGGCUUUUGCUUGUAAACCCCUGUAGCGAGGGAAAAAAUCUCCAUUCUAUGGAGGAUGAUGGUACCUCGAAAGUAAGCGUCGGCUAACUACGUGCCAGCAGCCGCGGUAAUACGUAGGACGCAAACGUUGUCCGGAUUUACUGGGUGUAAAGGGUGCUCAGGCGGUCUUGUAAGUCAGUGGUGAAAUCCCGGAGCUCAACUCCGGAACUGCCUUUGAUACUACAAGGCUUGAGUAUGGAAGAGGUGGAUGGAAUUUCUGGUGUAGCAGUGAAAUGCGUAGAUAUCAGAAAGAACACCAGUGGCGAAGGCGGUCUACUGGUCCAUUACUGACGCUAAAGCACGAAAGCAUGGGGAGCAAACAGGAUUAGAUACCCUGGUAGUCC
RNAcentral lists this ribosomal RNA (793 nucleotides) under uncultured bacterium. RNAcentral's name for it is "bacterial SSU rRNA". It matches the Rfam family "Bacterial small subunit ribosomal RNA", at positions 8 to 796 of the family's 1533-position model. The record is from RNAcentral.